RNAcentral lists this ribosomal RNA (506 nucleotides) under uncultured bacterium. Its description in RNAcentral is "partial 16S ribosomal RNA". It matches the Rfam family "Bacterial small subunit ribosomal RNA", at positions 28 to 523 of the family's 1533-position model. The record is from RNAcentral.
GAUGAACGCUAGCUACAGGCUUAACACAUGCAAGUCGAGGGGUAACGAGAGGAAAGCUUGCUUUCCUUGUCGACGACCGGCGCACGGGUGAGUAACGCGUAUCCAACCUGCCCCCAACUAAGGAAUAACCUUGCGAAAGUAAGACUAAUACCUUAUAAUUUCCUCAGAUGACAUCUGACGAGGAAUAAAGAUUUAUCGGUUGUGGAUGGGGAUGCGUCUGAUUAGCUUGUUGGCGGGGUAACGGCCCACCAAGGCAACGAUCAGUAGGGGUUCUGAGAGGAAGGUCCCCCACAUUGGAACUGAGACACGGUCCAAACUCCUACGGGAGGCAGCAGUGAGGAAUAUUGGUCAAUGGGCGAAAGCCUGAACCAGCCAAGUAGCGUGCAGGAUGACGGCCCUAUGGGUUGUAAACUGCUUUUAUACAGGAAUAAAGUUAGCCACGUGUGGUUAUUUGUAGGUACUGUAUGAAUAAGGACCGGCUAAUUCCGUGCCAGCCGCCGCGGUAA